RNAcentral lists this transfer RNA (52 nucleotides) under Alces alces (Eurasian elk). RNAcentral's name for it is "partial tRNA-Pro". The record is from RNAcentral. Lineage: Eukaryota; Metazoa; Chordata; Mammalia; Artiodactyla; Cervidae.
CAGGGAAUAGUUUAAAUAGAACUUCAGCUUUGGGUGUUGAUAGUGGGGCUAU